This 790-nucleotide transfer RNA is filed under the name Asaia siamensis. RNAcentral describes it as "partial miscellaneous RNA". The stretch from base 134 to 207 matches the Rfam family "tRNA". The record is from RNAcentral. Lineage: Bacteria; Pseudomonadati; Pseudomonadota; Alphaproteobacteria; Acetobacterales; Acetobacteraceae.
UGCGGCUGGAUCACCUCCUUUCAAGGAUGUUUCCUGAUACGUUGGGAAGCUUCUAAAUAAAGACCUGCAUUGGAUCAGUGCAGGCACGGAUGGCCUCAGGGCGCCGUCAACAUAUCCCUUCCUGUAAUGUUUUGGGCUAGUAGCUCAGUUGGUUAGAGCACACGCUUGAUAAGCGUGGGGUCGGAGGUUCAAGUCCUCCCUGGCCCACCACGACUGUGGUGGUUUCUAAGCCUUGAGAUGGCGAAGUUCAUUGAUGAAUGUCGAUGAUGCCUUGCCAGUCUUGACUGGGGGCGUAGCUCAGCUGGGAGAGCACCUGCUUUGCAAGCAGGGGGUCGUCGGUUCGAUCCCGUCCGCCUCCACCAGAAACCACACCGAUACACGCUGCUUGGCGCAAGCUUUGAGCGGCAGAUCGGUGAGAUAACAUUACAGGUUAAGGGAAAAAUGUUUCCUCCCUGCCGCACUUUGGUGCGGGAGCGAUGAAAAAGUCUGUUCUUUGUCAGUGUGAAUAGGUUGGUGCACUUUCUGGGUGCUGCCACGAUCCGGGUUGGUCUGACCCAUGUGGAUCGGUUUUGGGUUCUUGGACUUUGGUCUGAGAGGCUCUGAUCCGGUCUCGUGUUUAAGGAUUGUGGCGUAUAGCGGUCAGAAGGUGUUUUAUAAGUAUGAUGAACUUUGCGUGCGAUGCAUUGCAUUUUCUCUGCGCAGAAAACUGUGAAGCGCGCGAGCGUGGAUGGUUGCUGUGCAUGUGUAGUGUGUGAGCAUGAGAAGGGCAUUCGGUGGAUGCCUUGGCAUC